RNAcentral lists this ribosomal RNA (529 nucleotides) under uncultured bacterium. RNAcentral's name for it is "bacterial SSU rRNA". It matches the Rfam family "Bacterial small subunit ribosomal RNA", at positions 89 to 619 of the family's 1533-position model. The record is from RNAcentral.
AGUACAGUAGCGAACGGGUGAGUAACGCGUGAGAAUCUACCUUUUAAUGGGGGAUACCUUCUGGAAACGGAAGUUAAUACCGCAUAAGCCCUGAGGGGGAAAGACGGCCUCUUUGCUGUCGUUAAAAGAUGAGCUUGCGUACUAUUAGCUAGUUGGUAGGGUAAAGGCCUACCAAGGCUUAGAUGGUUAGCCGACCUGAGAGGGUGACCGGCCACAUUGGGACUGAGAUACGGCCCAGACUCCUACGGGAGGCAGCAGUGGGGAAUAUUGCACAAUGGGCGCAAGCCUGAUGCAGCGACGUCGCGUGGAGGAUGAAGGUUUUCGGAUCGUAAACUCCUGUUAAGUGGGAAGAAAGACUGUGCGUUAAUAGCGUAUGGGGAUGACGGUACCACUAGAGAAAGCACCGGCAAACUUCGUGCCAGCAGCCGCGGUAAUACGAGGGGUGCGAGCGUUAUUCGGAUUUACUGGGCGUAAAGGGCGCGUAGGCGGCUUUUUAAGUCACUUGUUAAAGACCACUUAAAUCGGUGGG